UACAGAGGUCCCAAGCGUUGUUCGGAUUCAUUGGGCGUAAAGGGUGCGUAGGUGGCGUCGUAAGUCGGGUGUGAAAUCUCGGGGCUUAACUCCGAAACUGCAUUCGAUACUGCGGUGCUUGAGGACUGGAGAGGAGACUGGAAUUACGGUGUAGCAGUGAAAUGCGUAGAGAUCGUAAGGAAGACCAGUGGCGAAGGCGGGUCUCUGGACAGUUCCUGACACUGAGGCACGAAGGCCAGGGAGCAAACGGG
Molecule: ribosomal RNA, 251 nt
Filed under: uncultured bacterium
Lineage: Bacteria
Description: partial 16S ribosomal RNA
Rfam family: Bacterial small subunit ribosomal RNA
Source: RNAcentral